This 29-nucleotide non-coding RNA is filed under the name Mus musculus (house mouse). The record is from RNAcentral. Lineage: Eukaryota; Metazoa; Chordata; Mammalia; Rodentia; Muridae.
UAACUGACAUAAGUUAGGGACUGUUUUGU